GGCGUCUAAUACCGGAUAUGACAACCGACGGCAUCGUCUGGUUGUGGAAAGAAUUUUGGUCAAGGCUGGACUCGCGGCCUAUCAGCUUGUUGGUGAGGUAAUGGCUCACCAAGGCGACGACGGGUAGCCGGCCUGAGAGGGUGACCGGCCACACUGGGACUGAGACACGGCCCAGACUCCUACGGGAGGCAGCAGUGGGGAAUAUUGCACAAUGGGCGAAAGCCUGAUGCAGCAACGCCGCGUGAGGGACGACGGCCUUCGGGUUGUGAACCUCUUUUAGCAGGGAAGAAGCGAAAGUGACGGUACCUGGAGAAAAAGCACCGGCUAACUACGUGCCAGCAGCCGCGGUAAUACGUAGGGUGCAAGCGUUGUCCGGAAUUAUUGGGCGUAAAGAGCUCGUAAGCGGUUUGUCGCGUCUGCUCUGAAAUCCCGAGGCUCAACCUCGGGUCUGCAGUGGGUACGGGCAGACUAGAGUGCGGUAGGGGAGAUCGGAAUUCCUGGUGGAGCGGUGUAAUGCGCAGAUAUCAGGAGGAACACCGAUGGCGAAGGCAGAUCUCUGGGCCGUAACUGACGCUGAGGAGCGAAAGGGUGGGGAGCAAACAGGCUUAGAUACCCUGGUAGUCCACCCCGUAAACGUUGGGAACUAGAUGUGGGGACCAUUCCACGGUCUCCGUGUCGCAGCUAACGCAUUAAGUUCCCCGCCUGGGGAGUACGGCCGCAAGG
Molecule: ribosomal RNA, 723 nt
Filed under: Okibacterium sp.
Lineage: Bacteria; Bacillati; Actinomycetota; Actinomycetes; Micrococcales; Microbacteriaceae
Description: bacterial SSU rRNA
Rfam family: Bacterial small subunit ribosomal RNA
Source: RNAcentral